RNAcentral lists this ribosomal RNA (301 nucleotides) under uncultured bacterium. RNAcentral describes it as "partial 16S ribosomal RNA". It matches the Rfam family "Bacterial small subunit ribosomal RNA", at positions 509 to 808 of the family's 1533-position model. The record is from RNAcentral.
CAGCAGCCACGGUAAAACGAAGGGUGCAAGCGUUACUCGGAAUUACUGGGCGUAAAGCGUGCGUAGGUGGUGGUUUAAGUCCGUUGUGAAAGCCCUGGGCUCAACCUGGGAAUUGCAGUGGAUACUGGGUCACUAGAGUGUGGUAGAGGAUAGUGGAAUUUCCGGUGUAGCAGUGAAAUGCGUAGAGAUCGGAAGGAACAUCUGUGGCGAAGGCGACUAUCUGGGCCAACACUGACACUGAGGCACGAAAGCGUGGGGAGCAAACAGGAUUAGAUACCCCAGUAGUCCCUGUCUCUAUACA